UACGAAGGGGGCUAGCGUUGCUCGGAAUUACUGGGCGUAAAGGGCGCGUAGGCGGAUGUUUAAGUCAGAGGUGAAAGCCCAGGGCUCAACCUUGGAACUGCCUUUGAUACUGGGCAUCUUGAGUACGGGAGAGGUGAGUGGAACUCCGAGUGUAGAGGUGAAAUUCGUAGAUAUUCGGAAGAGCACCCGUGGCGAGGGCGGCUCUCUGGGACGGUACUGACGCUGAGACGCGAAAGCGUGGGGAGCGAACAGG
Molecule: ribosomal RNA, 253 nt
Filed under: uncultured bacterium
Lineage: Bacteria
Description: partial 16S ribosomal RNA
Rfam family: Bacterial small subunit ribosomal RNA
Source: RNAcentral